UGGAGGGAUGAGCUAAGUGGGUGAUGAGCAUUAAGGACACUUGUGAUGGGCACUGGGUGUUAUAUGUAAGCGACAAAUCCCUAAAUUCUACUCCUGACCCAAAUGCUACACUAUGUAUGAGCUCAUUUGAAUUUCAAUAACAAUUUGGAAAAAAAAACACAUAUCCUUUCCAACUUGUUUAAGGUAUGAAGUCACCUGACAGGGAUAAUUUAUUAGCUAACUAAUUAGCCUGUCACAGAAGCCACCUGCCUCCAAAAUCACCCAGAAUAGAGAAGGGAUCUGUAAGAAUGACACCCAGAAUUACAUGAUUUGAUGGGUUAAGGGAGUGAGUAAAGUUAGAGUUAAGAAUUAAGGGAAGAAAAAAAUCCAGCAUUUGAAGCACCAUUAGGGAAAGCUAAAACCCUGGAGCAGCCUAAGUACUUAGAGACAUAUGCAUCUCUAGGAGAAAAGGUUUUAAAUACAGGAGUAGGUGGGGAGUUAGUUUUGUAAUGGGUACAGAGGUUUAGUCAAGGAAGAUGAAAAAGUUCUAGAGAUGGAUGUGAUGGUGGUGGCUCAAAAAUGUGAAUGUCCUUAAUACCACAGAACUGCACACUUAAAAUGGCUAAAAGCAUAAGUUUCAUAAUUUUGUACACUACAGAUAUAUUCUAGACAAUCUGGGACAGAAAUAAAGUCAAGGUUGCUUUCACCAAUGUUGCCUUAGAUGGUAUUGUAGUCAGCAGUUAAGAUGGGGCCAGUGAUCCUCACAUCCUAGUAUAUUCUCCCCUGUGUUGUCCCAUCCCACAGUGGAUAGAGCUGACCCAAGUAACCAACAGCAUACAGCAGAAAUGAACUUCCAAGGCCAGCUCAUAAAAGACAUUGCAGCUUCUAAAUGGUUUUCUCUUACAUCUCUUGCUCUGAGGGAAGUGAGCCGCCACACUGUGAAAACAUUCAUGCAGCCUAUGGAGAGGUCCAGGGAUGAGAAAGUGAGGCCUCUGGGCAACCUGCCAACCCACUGGGGAGCCACCCAGAAAGCAGAUCCUCCGGCAGCCCCAUCCAACAUCUGGACUGCAACCUCGUGACAGAGCCUAAGCCAGAACCACGCGGUUACCACUUUCCUCACCCACAGAAAUUGGUGACAGAUGAGGCAGAGCUUGAUGAGAAAUCUAUUGCAAAUGAAAAGUAAUCUUGGAUUACAGUCAAGUAGAGCAAGGCUCCUGCCAGCCUGUAGGUUCACACCACAAAGUAGCCCCUGUUCGAGUCAACAGGCUGGUCUACACAGGUAAAUCUGGUCUGUACAGGUGCGGAGGACCAAACUAAAGCUUCCGGCCACACCAGCACAUCUCUUAAUGCACAAUCUGAGGUUUUUAGCAGAACUGAA
This is a long non-coding RNA of Herpailurus yagouaroundi (jaguarundi), 1357 nucleotides long. RefSeq lists it as uncharacterized. The record is from RefSeq and is a predicted model, not a curated record. The transcript is spliced from 3 exons. NCBI's taxonomy places the organism in Eukaryota, Metazoa, Chordata, Mammalia, Carnivora, Felidae.